Molecule: small nucleolar RNA, 87 nt
Organism: Dendrobium catenatum
Lineage: Eukaryota; Viridiplantae; Streptophyta; Magnoliopsida; Asparagales; Orchidaceae
Source: RefSeq, a predicted model, not a curated record
GGGCAAAUGAUGAUAUAGAUAUAAAACAACCAUUUUUAAGACUUGUCUAUGAAGUAUCAUAGUCGAGCUUUUUAAAAUUGAUGCUCA